This 254-nucleotide ribosomal RNA is filed under the name uncultured bacterium. Its description in RNAcentral is "partial 16S ribosomal RNA". It matches the Rfam family "Bacterial small subunit ribosomal RNA", at positions 524 to 776 of the family's 1533-position model. The record is from RNAcentral.
UACGUAGGCAGCAAGCGUUGUUCGGAAUUACUGGGCGUAAAGAGUGUGUAGGCGGUGCUCUAAGUUCGGUGUGAAAUCUCCCGGCUCAACUGGGAGGGUGCGCCGGAAACUGGGGGUGCUGGAGCGCGGGAGAGGAAAGCGGAAUUCCUGGUGUAGCGGUGAAAUGCGUAGAUAUCAGGAGGAACACCGGCGGUGUAGACGGCUUUCUGGACCGUAGCUGACGCUGAGACACGAAAGCGUGGGGAGCAAACAGG